RNAcentral lists this ribosomal RNA (500 nucleotides) under uncultured bacterium. RNAcentral describes it as "partial 16S ribosomal RNA". It matches the Rfam family "Bacterial small subunit ribosomal RNA", at positions 28 to 507 of the family's 1533-position model. The record is from RNAcentral.
GAUGAACGCUGGCGGCGUGCUUAACACAUGCAAGUCGAACGGAAAGGCCUGCUUUCCCCUGUGGAUUGGGGGUACUCGGGUGGGUAACGGAUGAGUAACACGCCAGUGAUCUGCCCUCAACUUGCGUAUAAGCCUGGGAAACUGGGUCUAAUUACAGAUAGGACUGCAGGGUGCUGCCUGUGGUGGAAGACUUGUUUCUAGUGGUUGGGGAUGACCUGGCGGCGUAUCAGCUUGUUGGUGGGGUAAUGGCCUACCAAGGCGACGAUGGGGAGCCGACCUGAGAGGGAGAGCGUCGACAGUGGAACUGGGACACGGUCCAGGCCCCUACGGGAGCGAGCAGUAGGGAAGGUUACUAAAGGGGCGUAAGCCUGAGCCAGCAACGGCGAGGGAGUGAGGAAGGUCUUCGGCUUGUAAAUCUCUGUUCUUAGGGAAGAAGAGGUGGCUACGUAGUUAGGAGGGUGGUGACGGUACCUGAAGAAGAAGCACCGGCUAACUACGUG